AGGAACGAAAGCUAGGGGAGCAAAACGGAUUAGAUACCCGAGUAGUCCUAGCCGUAAACGCUGUGUACUAGAUGUUGCAUAUUUUUCGUGAAUGUGCAUUGUCGGAGCGAAGGUAUUAAGUACACCGCCUGGGGAGUACGGUCGCAAGGCUGAAACUUAAAGGAAUUGGCGGGGGAGCACUGCAACGGGAGGAGCGUGCGGUUUAAUUGGAUUCAACGCCGGAAAACUCACCAGGGCCGACUGUCAAAUGAAGACCAGCGUAAUGAGCUUGUCGGAUUGUCAGAGAGGUGGUGCAUGGCCGCCGUCAGUUCGUACCGUAAGGCGUUCUGUUAAGUCAGAUAACGAACGAGACCCUCAUCCUCAUUUGCUACUCAGUUCUCGCGAAUUGAGGCACUAUGAGGAGACCGCUGGCGCGAAGUCAGAGGAAGGCGAGGGCAACGGUAGGUCAGUAUGCCCCGAAUGUCCUGGGCUACACGCGCGCUACAAAGGAUGGGACAAUGGGAAGCCACGCCGAGAGGCGGAGCUAUCCCGAAACCCAUUCAUAGUUCGGAUUGAGGGCUGUAAGUCGCCCUCAUGAAGCUGGAUUCCGUAGUAAUCGUGUCUCAAAAUGGCACGGUGAAUAUGCCCCUGCUCCUUGCACACACCGCCCGUCAAACCAUCUUAGUUGGGAUUGGGUGAGGCUGCGCUUUAUGGCGCAUUCGAGCCUGGUUUCGACAAGGAGGGUUAAGUCGUAACAAGGUAUCUGUAGGGGAACCUGCAGAUGGAUCACCUCCUAAGAAA
Molecule: ribosomal RNA, 780 nt
Filed under: Methanobacteriota archaeon
Lineage: Archaea; Methanobacteriati; Methanobacteriota
Description: bacterial SSU rRNA
Rfam family: Archaeal small subunit ribosomal RNA
Source: RNAcentral